GCCCCGAAGUUUAGAAAGACGAAGGAAUUCGAGCUGACCAAAACUGUCAUCAUUGCAGGUAAUCUCUUUUCCUUCAUAAGCGUCUACUAAGUCGAGGUUCCUUAGAUUUGACAACAUUCCCAAAAUAGGCAUUGGAUCUUCAACGAGUCUUGAGCUCCAAAGCACCAUCAUUGUGAUGGAUUUUGGCAACUGAUCUGAGAGAGGAAGUUUUUCUAUUUUCCCGUGUAACCAUAAUUUGUUGAGGUUUUGACAAGAAGAAAGAGGUUCAAGGGGUGGAAAUGGUUCACCAUAUUCGCAACCCAAUAUGAGAGUUCUAAGACUUUUCAAGCUGCCAAUGACAUUCAGCGAGUAAGAGUUCAUAACUUUUUCCAUGACUAAUUCUUGAAGAUUGAGUAAACCUACAGCAUCAUCAUAUUUCAAACGAUCACAACGAAUGUAUUUAAGAGUUUGUAGACUUGUAAGCUUGCUGAGCUGCACAGCUCCUUCAUAUCGAGCAAUUAAAUGUCUCAAGUUUAUUAGGUUAGACAUCUGGGGAGGUAGUAUGCAUGAGCUACGAUCAGGGUUCAAAACUUGGAGAGUUUGUAAGUUUUUGAGUUUGCCAAUGGAGGGUGGGAGUUUAAAGUCAUUAGCACCUAGCAAACCUAAGAACUUAAGAUGGACCAGAUUGCCUAUGGCAUCAGGUAGUGCAGGUUGAGUGAAACGGAUUCUCUCCAAAUCUAGCACAUACAGAUGUUGGAACAUAUUGCAGUAAGAAGUAAACUUCUUACUGUCCUGGCUACCUAUUUCUACAUCAAAGAACAGAAGUGUCCUUAACUUCAAUGUUGAAAAGUCAAGUGAGAGGUACCUUUGUGCUUGAGCAUGAAUGGCGUGUCUGUGGCGCGAGAGGGGCACAGAGUGCUUUCUUGGAUCAUAAAUAUCGAACAAGUUUACCUCUGUGGCCUUUUUCACGGCAAGAUCCCGAAGUAGGUCAUGGAUUCUACAUCCAAUAAUCUUCUCCCAAAAUGUUUUUGCCACUUGAAUCAAGCUUCGUCUUACUAGCUCAUUUAGGAAGUCCUCAGCGACGUCCUCCAUUCUUUCUCCCACUCUAGGUAUGAAGCCCUCGGCCAUCCACAAGCACAUCAACUUUUCUGUGUUGAUCACACUAUCUUCUGGAAAAAUACCAAAAUAAAGAAAACAUUGCUUGAGCUCUGUUGACAAAUCAUUGUAGCUUAAUGAUAAAAUGUGAGAGAUCUCAAUUGAGUUAUUCUGCAUGUGAUGCCAAAGGUGUGCCUUCACCUUUUUCCAUUCUACUAGUCCUUUUUUAUGGGAAAGUAACCCGCUUAGUACAACAAUGGCAAGCGGUAAGCCUCCACAUCUUUCCACCAUUUCGCUAGCUAUUCUUUCCAUUGCUGGAGACCACCCAAUGUUGUCAAACUUGUCUACGCGACGCAGCUUCUUGCAGAAGAGGUCCCAACUUUCUUCUUGUCCUAGGAAACGAAGUUUAUAUGCAAAACCUUUGUUGUCCGCACUUUCAGCCACAUCCUCCUUGCGCGUGGUAAUAAUAACUCUGCAGCCCUUCUUGCUAUCUGGGAAUGCUCUUUUCAAACUUUCCCAUGCCUCUUUAUGCCAUACAUCAUCAACCACCAAAAGGUACUUGCGCUCUUUCAAUAGAUCACGAAGGUAACUUUCUAAAUCUCUCUCUGUCAUCUUCUCCAACAAAUCUAGAAUUUCUUUGGUGCAACCUUGGAUGGAUUUUAUGAUAUUUCGUAGGAGAUCUGGGGUGUUGAACUCUUGAGAAACACAUAUCCAAGCGCGUGUUGGGAAGCUAGUGAUUAGACUAGGGGAGUUGUAGAGGUUUCUUGCAAGAGUGGUCUUGCCUAUACCACCCAUACCAUAAAUGGAGAUGACACUUUGUCGAGGCUCUUCUUUGAGAAGUUCAGCAAGAAAUCUUUCAAUGACUUCCUGAAAGCCAACAAAAAUCUGAUCCUGAUCAUCUGCAUAGGAGGUAGUUCUCCUCAAUGUUCUAAUCAGAGCGGACCGAUUGUUAGACCUAUUACUUGGCCCUUCUCCUGCAAUAAUAUUGAUAUUUCUGAUACCAUAAGUCUCUCGUUUGCGAGAGAUAUCCAUGAUGCGUUUCUUGAGGGAUUGGAUCUCCUUGCCGACAUUGUAGAGUUUGGUCUCCUUCCUACAGAUGCAAGCGCAAGACUUAAGACGACUAGCAAAUCCAUGAUCAGUACUGCCUUUUCCUGCCACAUUGGAGCUAUAAGUCUCCAAUAUAGCGACGGUGUCAUUAGCAAUAGAGCUGAUUUCAAAUAUCCAUUGUUGAACUCUUAGAUCUUCAACUUGCUUUUCUUCUGCAUCUUUGAAGAAAGAUUGCAUGAAUAGCAGCUCAUUUCUCAGCCACUGCACAUUCUCUCUCAGACUUCUGCGCAAGGCAACUUCUUGUAUGAGGAAAUUGCCCAGCUUUUCAACUGCAAAUGAUACAAAAGCAUCAACCAUUUUCAGGAAUCUUUGUUUUAAGAAAGUGUUGUUCUUCUCGAGUGUGCAGUUGAUGUCAUUCCUAAUGUGCUAUAUAUAUGCACUUGUAUUAUGCUUUGUUCUGCUUUUCACUUUUUCUUUUUAGAUAUAUAUAUUAUAAGUUUGCCUGUGUUCAGGGAAAAUGCCACUGAGGAGGAAGCAUAUUUUGAUUAAAACAUCAAACAAAGAAUGUAUAGGGCGUGGAACAGGAAUUUCAGAGUUAUAUUUGUCAGACAACUCAUCCCAAGAUUUAACUAACCCACUUUUUCCUGAUUCUGUGGAAACACCAACAGUUUUGGGAUCUUUGCACAAAUAGCUGGUUGGAUCAUUGUUUAUUUUCGCUAGCCGGUAUACAUAGAAUAUGCACUGAUUAUACACGUAUUGUACAUAUAUUAUACAUUCUCCUGCUAUUUUUUGUUUAAGCGGUUGGACGAAUGACUAUUUAGGUUAAUUCUUCAAAGAUUUUUUUUUUACCUUUUCAAGGCCAUAAGAAAGUUGUAGUAGCUGCCACAAUAACUGAAGGUUGCCAACCUUAGUACUGUAAUAGCCAGAGGUGGAUUCAGGAUUUGAAGGCUCCGGGUGCCAUAUUGCUUUGGACUU
Molecule: long non-coding RNA, 3096 nt
Filed under: Nicotiana tabacum (common tobacco)
Lineage: Eukaryota; Viridiplantae; Streptophyta; Magnoliopsida; Solanales; Solanaceae
Description: long non-coding RNA (NTAB_LNC008394)
Source: RNAcentral